Molecule: small RNA, 28 nt
Filed under: Bombyx mori (domestic silkworm)
Lineage: Eukaryota; Metazoa; Arthropoda; Insecta; Lepidoptera; Bombycidae
Description: ovarian small RNA-23788
Source: RNAcentral
UAUCUGCCUCAGCCCGCACGAGGUUCUC